This 253-nucleotide ribosomal RNA is filed under the name uncultured bacterium. RNAcentral's name for it is "partial 16S ribosomal RNA". It matches the Rfam family "Bacterial small subunit ribosomal RNA", at positions 524 to 776 of the family's 1533-position model. The record is from RNAcentral.
UACAGAGGGUGCGAGCGUUGUCCGGAAUCACUGGGCGUAAAGGGCGCGUAGGUGGCCCGACAAGUCUGUGGUGAAAGCUCGACGCUCAACGUCGAGUCGGCCAUAGAUACUGUUGGGCUGGAGCACUGUAGAGGCUAAUGGAAUUCCGGGUGUAGCGGUGGAAUGCGUAGAGAUCCGGAAGAACACCGGUGGCGAAGGCGGUGAGCUGGGCAGUAGCUGACACUGAGGCGCGACAGCGUGGGGAGCAAACAGG